This 746-nucleotide long non-coding RNA is filed under the name Apteryx rowi (Okarito brown kiwi). RNAcentral's name for it is "lncRNA (ENSARWG00000009935.1)". Lineage: Eukaryota; Metazoa; Chordata; Aves; Apterygiformes; Apterygidae. The record is from RNAcentral.
GCCCUUUCCGUGCCUGCAGCCUCCGUGCCGGGGCCCGGGGCGCGCCCGGGGCGCAGUCUGCGCGUGGUGGGCCGCGGCGGAGGCCUGCGUUAGGGUGGGUGCCCGGUCGCUGAAGCCGGGACGGCGCUGUCACCACUCCCUUGGGGCACGCGAGCAGCCCGCGGUGACCAGGAACGUAGUCGCAUCGUUAGCCGGAGGAGAGUUUUCAUGUUUUUAGGAUUUGGGGAUAAUAACUUAAAAAAAAGCUUUCACACAUAUUAGUGCUCUAAGAGCUUCUAGAUUUGGUACUAGCUCUGUAUAGCAGUCCUUGUAGCGUGAGUCUGUAUUGCCUGCUGCUUCCUCAGGGGCACUUCACAUGGCAUUUGAAUCUCAUCUCCUGUCCAUCGUGAGGAAAGCUGUUGAGGGAUCAGGGAUGUGAAUUGGGUUAAUUCCAACUAAACAGUAGUCUGCGGAAUAUUUUACAGAAAUACAUUGCAACUUAAGAAAGUAGACUUUAAAAAUCUGAGCAAAACUGGGCCUGAAAAAACAUCUCACGAACAACUAAUUAAUAUGAAGAAUAAAUAAAACAAAGAAAGAGGUGGCAGUGAUUUGGUGACAUGACUGAAAGAAAGUCAUCGCAAUAUGUAGAAAAGGCUCCAGACUGCCAGCUUGUGAAUCCAGCCUGUUCCAGGGUCCUGUGUCGACCAUGCAAACUUAAUAAUCAAAACCUUAAAAUAAAGGUCAGGAGUACUAAAUUUGGAUGUCCA